Molecule: long non-coding RNA, 805 nt
Organism: Lepisosteus oculatus (spotted gar)
Lineage: Eukaryota; Metazoa; Chordata; Actinopteri; Semionotiformes; Lepisosteidae
Source: RefSeq, a predicted model, not a curated record
ACAGAAAUGAUCCUGAAGCUAAGGCCUCAGCCCUCAGCCUCGACUUUGAACAAUGGCACUGACACCAGAAGUGUGAAAGACAAGGGGAUGUGGCUGGAGGCUCUAUUUUUAGGAACACGGGUCUUGAGACAACAGUGCGCUGUCAUCCUGGAGCUGAGGCGGGUGACAUUGCACGUGACAUCGCAUAAACAGCACACUCUUCAUCCACAACAAUUCAAAGGUUUUGAAAACAAACUGAAAUGGCAGGAAGAAGUCUCCAGUUUUCUCUGGAAUCCUGCCUUCUCUGUUUGCAAACUUCCACAUUUUAUUCCGACAGCACAACACAUGACCCAGAAUUUGGCAAAGGACGAAAAGAAAAGCCCAGAAAAAAACAGAACAAAAAAGGACCAAGUACUGAUGACUUCAUUUUCUGAACUGAGAUCGCACUGCUGCAGUUCAGACAUGCUUGAGAGGGAGCCUGGCAUGUCUUUAACACCACAGUCAUCACAGAUCUCACCACAGUCAGGAGCUACACAGCACCUACUUGGCCUCAGCAGUGCCAAAACUGCCAUGAGCCAUGUCUUAUCAAAUUCCACCAUAUCAUUCCUGCAAACUACACAGUUCCCAAAGUGUAUAACAAAAUUAGAGAGUAUAUAGUAUAGAGAGUAAGAAACAAAAACAAUCUUACAGAAGGAAUCAAAAUGACCAGGCUUGUACAAUAACAAAGAUCAUAGGCCCAAUCACUCUUGAUUUCCAGUUUCCCAACUUUUACUCCUGAUUGAAUUUAUAUGGUAUGUCAAGUGAAAAAAAAAAAAAUCACAAUAUA